CCUACGGGAGGCAGCAGUGAGGAAUAUUGGUCAAUGGACGCGAGCCUGAACCAGCCAAGUCGCGUGAAGGAAGACGGUCCUAUGGAUUGUAAACCUCUUUUGUCGGGGAGCAAAACACGACACGCGUGGCGUUCCGAAAGUACCCGAAGAAAAAGCAUCGGCUAACUCCGUGCCAGCAGCCGCGGUAAUACGGAGGAUGCGAGCGUUAUCCGGGUUUAUUGGGUUUAAAGGGUGCGAAGGCGGAAGAUCAAGUCAGCGUUAAAAUUGAGAGGCUAAACCUGUCCGAGCCGUUGAGACUGUUUUUCUAGAGUGAGUGAGAGGUAUGCGGAAUGUGUGGUGUAGCGGUGAAAUGCAGAGAUAUCACGCAGAACUCCGAUUGCGAAGGCAGCAUACCGGCGCUCAACUGACGUUCAUGCACGAAAGUGUGGGUAUCGAACAGGAUUAGAUACCCUAGUAGUC
RNAcentral lists this ribosomal RNA (459 nucleotides) under uncultured bacterium. RNAcentral's name for it is "partial 16S ribosomal RNA". It matches the Rfam family "Bacterial small subunit ribosomal RNA", at positions 338 to 795 of the family's 1533-position model. The record is from RNAcentral.